UCAAAUAAGUCCUCAUUACAAUUAUUCAUACACUAUUUUACAGAAAUAGUGAGGACUGCUAAAACAUCUUUCUAGAACCAUCACUCCAUACCCCAACUAAAUCCUGCUAUGUUCUCACCUCCUGAGAAGAAAAAUAGAACAAAAAGGAAAAGGGUGAGCUCAACUAGCCCAGUAAAGAAUAUUAUGACUAAGAUAAUAUACAACAAAUUAUCAUUAGUCUUCAACAGGGAAAAAUCUGAUAAAAUAUAAUAGACAACAAGUUUUAGAUCAACAACUGCAGCGGAAACAACAAUCCAUUAGAAGAGUCACGUAGAGAAUGAAUUCUACUAUCUUCUAAGAUUUAAAAGUUCAUCAUCAAUAUUUUAUCCCUGUAACAACAAUCAAUAUGCAUCUUUAAUCAAAUAUUCAUCUUUGCACUAAGGCCAAAGAUAUUCAUUUGUAUCACCAGUUGGUCAUGUUCAUCUCAACACCUGUUCAUCUUUGCACUACCGGCCAAAGAUAUUCAUCAGUUAAUCAUUCAUCUUUGCACUACAGGCCAUAUUCAGUAAUAUCAUCAUUUAAGACUGAGGAUGAUAAAAAAUAUUUUAAAAAAAAAGAAUCCAGUGAGACAGAAGGACGAGUAUUAGAGAUUCGUAUUACAGUUUAUCCAAGAUCAAUAAUACUCCAUAAUAACCAAUUUUGAAGCAAAAUUCAAAAAUAAAGAUCAAAACAUGGAUACAAUCAAAGAUAGUAACCAUAAUAGACAUCUUGGACAAAAAGGAAAAUUUUUAAUUUUUAGUGAAUAGUACCGUAUUCGUGAAUAGUAUCGUAUACGUGAAUAGUGUCUUAUACGUGAAGAGUAACCCCGACACAAAAGUUCCAAAUUUGAUUAAAAAGUUCAAACCAAUAUAUCGGCAUAAUGAUAUUGAAGAAAAUAAUAUAAUUUAAGAAGAAAAUAGCAUCCCUUACCUCAACAUAACGGUACUUCUAAUCGGAAUAUCGGAUAGAAAGCCGAAGGAAACUUGUACCGAACAGCAACUCUCAAAGUAUCUAAAUACUCACAAAAAUAAGCUCGACAAUAUAGAGAGAAAGACAACUUAUUUUUGGUGUGAAAGAAAACUAAACCCUAAACCCUAAACCCUAGACCCUAGACCCAAAACCCAAAACCCUAGACCCUAGACCCUAGACCCUAGACCCUAGACCCUAAACCCUAAACCCUAAACCCUAAACCCUAAACCCUGAGUGUCUAUUUAUAGGAAAAUACUAGAACGUCAUAGGAGACUAAAAUAAUAAAAUAAUAGUAUUUCUUUUUAAAUCAACUACGCCACCCACCAUUUUGAGUCAAGCAUGCCUUCUUGGACAAAAAUCAGCAGCCCAUGUGUAUUCAACACCAACCAAAAUGUGGGUCCCACCCAUAAUUUAAUAAUAUCAUUUUUUUUUUUGAAACUUUAGUAAUUCAUAGAAAAUAGCCCAUUUAUCAGAAAAAUACGAAUUUUAUGUCCAUUCCACACGAAAUUGAAUUCUCUACAACUUUGUAGCUUUGAGUUUUUCCAAAGUCCAAACAAAAAAUAUCCAAAACCCACAAACAGAUGAUUUUUAAUACCUCCACUCCGAUAAAAUACUGAUAAAACACCUCAGCAUUAAUUCCUUCAUUUAUAACCACAUAAAUAAAUAAAUCCAUCAUUUAUAUCCACAUCAAAUAAAUAUUUCCUUAUCAUAUAAAUCAAUAAUUAAUUAUUCACAAAUAAUAUUACUGAAUCACAAUUAUGACAACCAGGCAGUUCCCAGGAAAGAAGAGGCUUUCCAAUAAGGAUUUCUCCUUACUGGUGUGCAAUUAGGUGACCAAACCUCUCCUUGACAGAACUUUCUAGACAACGCCAAUAAUGCUAAUUAAUAAUAUUAUUCAAAUAAUAUUAAUUAUUGAUCUGAUAAUGGGAAAUACUGUGCAGUGACAAUUAUUGAAACAACAAUAAUAUAAACUAUCAACGCAACAAUUAUUGAAUCAAUAAAAUAAAAUAUUGAACAGUAACUACUGUAAUAAUUAUUUAGUAGUGCAUUCUUAUGUACGAAUCAAUAAUUCAAUAAUACUGUGCAAUACCGUGUGCUACUGUGCAACCACGCGUAUUACUGUAUUUUAACCACCAGGUAUUCCAACAGUGUUAACAGUAACAACUACGCCGUUAUUUAUUAAACUCAUACUUUGUCGUUUUCCUUCAUCCAACUGUUUUCCGUUAUGGGGCCCACCAAUGGUGCGCCGUCGUACGAAUAUUCCCCGACAAAAAGAAUAUUCCACGACCAAACGAAUAUUCCCCGACAUAAAUGAAUAUUUUAUAACCACUUGCUUAUUUUGCAAAAUUUUCACAUUUCACCCAUAACCAAAGCAUUAUAUCAAAUUAACACCUUAUUAAUUUAGAAUAAUGAAUAUUGGAAAAAUUCAAUUUUAUUUAUAAUAAGUUAGGGUCUUACAACCUCCCCUCCUUAUAAAAUUUCGUCCUCGUAAUUAACGUACGUACAUAGUGUUUCAAAAAGGUGAGGGUACCUCGCUUUCAUUUUUGAUUCCAACUCCCAGGUCAUUUUCUCAAUAGCAUGGUUCCUCCACAAAACCUUAACUUGUGGUAUAACCUUUGUGCAUAGGACAUGCUUUUUUCUAUCCAAGGUCUUAACAAGUACCUCCUCGUAUGUUAAAUCUUCGACUAUCUCGUCUGGUUCCAACUCAAUAAUGUGGUUCGAGUCUUUCACAUAUUUACGAAGCAUAGAUAUGUUUGGAGGUAAUGUGAUUCUAUAGGCCACAUUUCCUAUUCGGUCGAGAAUCUCAAAUGGACCAACAAAUCUUGGAUUGAGCUUUCCUCUCUUCCCAAAUCUUGUAACUCCCUUCCAUGGAGCAACACGUAGAUAUUGAAGAAAAUAAUAUCAUUUAAGAAGAAAAUAACAUCCCUUACCUCAAAAUAAUGGUACUUCUAAUCGGAAUAUCGGAUAGAAAGCCGAAGGAAACUUGUACCGAACAGCAACUCUCAAAGUAUCUAAAUACUCACAAAAAUAUGCUCGACAAUAUAGAGAGAAAGAAAUCUUAUUUUUGGUGUGAAAGAAAACUAAACCCUAGACCCUAAACCCUAAACCCUAAAUCCUAAAUCCUAAAUCCUAAGUCCUAAACCAUAAAUCCUAAACCCUAGACCCUAAACCCUAAACCCUAGACCCUAGACCCUAAAACCUAAAUCCUAAGCGUCUAUUUAUAGAAAAAUGCUAGAACGCCAUAGGAGACUAAAAUAAUAAAAUAAUAAUAUUUCUUUUUAAAUCAUCUACGCCACCCACCAUUUUGAGUCAAGCAUGCCUUCUUGGACAAAAAUCAGCAGCCCAUGUGUAUUCAACACCAACCAAAAUGUGGGUCCCACCCAUAAUUUAAUAAAUAUCAUUUUAUUUUUUGAAACUUCAGUAAUUCAUAGAAAAUAGCCCAUUUAUCAGAAAAAUACGAAUUUUAUGUCCAUUCCACACGAAAUUGAAUUCUCUACAACUUUGUAGCUUUGAGUUUUUCCAAAGUCCAAACAAAAAAUAUCCAAAACCCACAAACGUAUAAUUUUUAAUACCUCCACUCCGAUAAAAUACUGAUAAAACACCUCAGCAUUAAUUCCUUCAUUUAUAACCACAUAAAUAAAUAAAUCCAUCAUUUAUAUCUACAUCAAAUAAAUAUUUCCUUAUCAUAUAAAUCAAUAAUUAAUUAUUCACAAAUAAUAUUACAGAAUCACAAUUAUGACAACCAGGCCGUUCCCAGGAAAGAGGGGGCUUUCCAAUAAGGAUUUCUCCUUACUGGCGCGCAAUUAGGUGACCAAACCUCUCCUUGACAGAACUUUCUAGACAUUGCCAAUAAUGCUAUCUAAUAAUAUUAUUCAAAUAAUAUGAAUUAUUGAUCUGAUAAUGGGAAAUACUGUGCAGUGACAAUUAUUGAAACAACAAUAAUAUAAAAUAUCAACGCAGCAAUUAUUGAAUCAAUAAAAUAAAAUAUUAAACAGUAACUACUGUAACAAUUAUUGAGUAGUGCCUUCUGACGUACGAAUCAAUAAUUCAACAAUACUGUGCAAUACCGUGUGCUACUGUGCAACCACGCAUAUUACUGUAUUUUAACCACCAGGUAUUCCAACAGUGUUAACAGUAACAACUGCGCCGUUAUUUAUUAAACUCAUACUUUUUCGUUUUCCUUCAUCCAACUGUUUUUCGUUAUGUGGCCCACAAAUGGUUGCACCGUCGUACGAAUAUUCCACGAACAAAAAGAAUAUUCCACGACCAAGCGAAUAUUCCCCGACAGAAAUGAAUAUUUUAUAACCACUUGCUUAUUUUGCAAAAUUUUCACAUUUCACCCAUAACCAAAGCAUUAUAUCAAAUUAACACCUUAUUAAUUUAGAAUAAUGAAUAUAGGAAAAUUUCAAUUUUAUUUAUAAUAAGUUAGGGUCUUACAACCUCCCCUCCUUAUAAAAUUUCGUCCUCGAAAUUAACGUACGUACAUAGUGUUUCAAAAAGGUGAGGGUACCUCGCUUUCAUUUUUGAUUUCAACUCCCAGGUCAUUUUCUCAAUAGCAUGGUUCCUCCACAAAACCUUAACUUGUGGUAUAACCUUUGUGCAUAGGACAUGCUUUUUUCUAUCCAAGAUCUUAACAAGUACCUCCUCGUAUGUUAAAUCUUCGACUAUGUCGUCUGGUUCCAGCUCAAUAAUGUGGUUCGAGUCUUUCACAUAUUUACGAAUCAUAGAUAUGUGAAAAACAUUAUGAACACGAGAUAUGUUUGGAGGUAAUGCGAUUCUAUAGGCCACAUUUCCUAUUCGGUCGAGAAUCUCAAAUGGACCAACAAAUCUUGGAUUGAGCUUUCCUCUCUUCCUAAAUCUUGUAACUCCCUUCCAUGGAGCAACACGUAACAAUACAUGAUCCCCAAUAUUAAAUUCUACAUCCUUUCGAUGAAGAUCAACAUAACUCUUUUGUCGAUCUUGUGAGGUUUAAAUACGUUGUCGAAUCAUUUAGAUCUUUUCUGUAGUCAUGCGUACUAAUUCUGGUCCCUACAACGUUGCUUCUCCCACCUCGUCCCAGCAUACUAGAGAGCGACACUUUCGUCCAUACAAUGCCUCGAAUGGAGCCAUGCCUAUACUUGCUUGAUAACUGUUGUUGUAGGAGAAUUCCACCAGUGGCAAGUACUUAUCCCAACUUCCUUUGAAAUCUAGGACACAGAGUCUUAAUAGAUCUUCAAGGGUUUGAAUAGUCCUUUUCGAUUGCCCGUCCAUUUGAGGAUGGUAUGCUGAACUGAAUCGUAAAUUUGUGCAAAUAGCUUUCUGCAAGCUAACCCAAAAUCUUGAAGUGAAUCUUGGGUCACGAUCCGAAACUAUGGAUACUAGCAUGCCAUGCAAUCUCACAAUCUCAUUCACGUACAUACGAGCAAGACGUUCAAGGGAAUAAGUCUCACGUAUCAGCAAGAAAUGAGCAGACUUGGUUAAUCUAUCAAUAAUAACCCAAAUCGCAUCUAAGCCUUGAGAAACUUUGGGAAGACCUGUAACAAAAUCCAUGGUAAUGUGUUCCCACUUCUAUUUUGAAUUCUCAAGUGGUUACAAUGGACCCUUUGGCACUUGAUGCUCAACCUUUACACGUUGACAGAUUAAACACCUCGAGAUAAACUUCGUGAUCUCUCUCUUCAUAUUGUUCCACCAAAAUGUAUGUCGAUGAUCAUGAUACAUUUUGGUAGUCCCAGGAUGGAUUGCAAACGGGGUGUUGUGUGCCUCCAUCAUGAUUCUAUGCUUCAAGUCAGAAUUGUUAAGAACGCAAAGUCUAGAGUUGACUCGAAGUAUUCCUUCUUCAUCGAUUCUUUCUUCUGGAAUAGCACCUUCUUUCACUUUCUUCUUCAUACGCAUCAGCCCCAGGUCUGUAGCUUGAGCCACUUUAACUUUAUCGAUUAAAGUCGGUUCUACUCGUAUAUUCCCCAUCAUCACGUGGGUCCCUGGAGUCUUUAACUCUAUCUGCAUCCUUUGCAAAUCAUACAAAAUGGGCCUUUGCGUUGACAAUAUCGCACUCGUACUUGCACAUGAUCUUCUACUCAAUGCGUCAGCUACUACGUUUGCUUUUCCAGGAAGAUAUUGAAUAGUGUGAUCAUAAUCUUUGAACAGCUCAAGCCAACAUCGUUGCCGCAUGUUGAGUUCUUUUUAGGUGAAGAAAUAUUUGAGGCUUUUAUGGUCCGUAUAAAUAUCCACUUUCUCCGCAUACAAGUAGUGUCUCCAUAUCUUCAACGCAAAAACGACUGCUGCCAACUCAAGAUCAUGAGUAGGAAAAUAGCUCUCAUAUUCUUUGAGUUGUCGCGAGGCAUAGGCUAUGAUUUUCCCAUGUUGCAUGAGAACACAUUCUAACCCUUUGCCUGAAGCAUCGCUAUAGAUAACAAAUCCAUCCGAACCAGAUGGUAUUGCCAGAACAGGUGCCAAAAUGAGUCUCCUCUUGAGCUCUUGGAAACUCUUCUCGCAUUCUUCGCUCCAUACGAAUUUUGUAUCUUUCUGAGUCAGCUGAGUUAACGGAGUAGCGAUUCGAGAAAAUCCUUUCACAAAUCUUCGAUAAUAACCAGCUUAAGCCCAGAAAGCUGCGUACUUCGGUCACCGACUUCGGUUGCUCCUCACUUUGUAUUGCUUCAAUCUUCGCCGGGUCAACAGAUACUCUAUGUUUUGACACCACGUGCCCAAGGAAUGCUACUUCCUCAAGCCAUAACUCGCAUUUCUUCAGCUUGGCAUAUAGCUUGUUUUUACGAAGCCUUUCAAGUAUUAGCUUCAAAUGGUGUUCAUGAUCUUCACGACUUUUGGAAUAGAUGAGGAUGUCAUCAAUAAAGACAACAACGAAUUGAUCCAAAUAUUCCUUGAAUACUCGGUUCAUCAUAUCCAUGAAAGCAGCAGGAGCAUUAGUUAAUCCAAAAGACAUGACUAAGAAUUCAUAAUGCCCGUACCGAGUUCUGAAGGCAGUCUUUGGAAUAUCCUCAGUUUUAAUCUUCAGCUGAUGAUAUCCAGAACGAAGAUCGAUCUUUGAAAAGAAUUGUGCUCCUUGCAACUGGUCAAACAGGUCAUCAAUGCGAGGUAGCGGAUACCUAUUCUUGAUGGUGACAUGGUUCAAUUCUCGGUAGUCAAUACAAAGUCGCAUACUCCCGUCUUUCUUCUUUACGAAUAAAACAGGAGCACCCCAAGGAGACGUACUAGGACGAAUGAAACCGAUGUCUAAUAACUCCUGUAGUUGGACUUUUAACUCCUGAAGUUCAAUAGGAGCCAUUCGAUAUGGGGUUUUAGAAAUGGGCUUUGUACCCGGUUCAAGGUCAAUAAAGAAUUCAACAUCACGUUCUGGGGGUAGACCGGGAAGCUCUUCAGGAAAUACAUCAGGGAAUUCUCUAACCACAGAAAUAUUAUUCAAAUCUGACUUGUCUUUAUUCAAAUCCAUAACAUGGGCUAAGAAAGCUUGACAUCCGUUUUUCAAUAAACGAAUAGCUUUGUGGCUUGAUAUGACGGUGACUAAUUUUAGUGGUUUAGUUGUUUGAAUUCGUAUGACGGGUUGGUUAGGUAUAUGAAAACUAACAACCUUACAAAAACAAUCAAUUUUGGCAUGAUGAGUGAUUAACCAAUCAAUCCCUAAAAUCACAUCAAAAGCAAUUAUCUUUAAAGAGAUAAGAUCAACAAGUAAUGUGAUAGUGCCAACUUGGAUUAAGCAAGAUUAAUAAACUGUAGAUGUAACGAAGGUUUCACCUAAUGGAGUUUCAACAGAUAAGUUAAAGUCCAAUUUCUCCGAAGUCAAGUUUAAACGUUGAGCAUAAGCAGGAGAGAUAAAAGAAUGGGUAGAACCGGUAUCUAGUAAGGUAUAAACUUCGCAAGAAUUCAAGAUUAGCUUACCCGUGAUCACCUCGUUCGGGUUCCUCAUGUUUUGGCCAGUCACGACAAACGCUCUUCCAGGAACCGCUGAUUUUGACUUAUCCGGGACAGCCCUUGGAGUCACCAUCCUCGCUGAACUUGGUUUUGCUACAGAAUAAUCCCGAGCUAUGUGACAUUCCUUUCCAUAGUUAUAACAUACCUUGGAUUUUUGUGGACAAUUUGGGCUGAUAUGUCCCUCUUUCCCGCAUUUGUAACAUCUAACUGGCGGUCUUUCUCCUCCCCUAGAAUUUGUUGUUGGUGCUGGUGCUGCUGCUGAUGUCUUCUCGUCAUUGUUGAAUCUCCUAUUUCUGAAAUUUCCACUUGACUCACCUCUCCUAUUAUCAUGGCCAUAAUUACCACUCGAGUGGUUACCGUCUUUGUCCGUAUUUUUCCCUCCUCGCAGGUUAUCAUUGCUCUGACUGCCGUCACCGGUAUGACCCUGGUUAUGGUCCCUCGGUUGAGUAUACUCAUUAUCUCGCUCUAAUAAUUGAGCCCUAUUGACAACAUCUGAAUACAGAGAAAAUUUAUGAGAGAUAAGGUAUUGAUGAAUCUUGGGUUUUAGACCUCUCAGAAACAUCCGCGUCAUACGUUCCUCAUUCUCCACCAAAUGAGGUGAAAACCUGCAUAACUCCGCGAACUUCACCUCGUAUUGAGACACCGUCAUGUUGUUCUGUUCCAGUCUAAUAAACUCUACCUCCUUCAUAUGAUGAAUACUUUCAGGAAAAUACUUGUCAUUGAACAUUUUCUGAAAUCUUUCCCAAGACAUGUUAAGUGCGGCUGGCUGGGUAUGCUUCACAGAUUCCCACCAAUAAUCUGCCUCACUACGGAAAAUAAAGGUGGCGAAUGGAACCCCGACACAAAAGUUCCAAAUUUGAUUAAAAAGUUCAAACCAAUAUUUCGGCAUAAUGAUAUUGAAGAAAAUAAUAUCAUGUAAGAAGAAAAUAACAUCCCUUACCUCAAAAUAAUGGUACUUCUAAUCGGAAUAUCGGAUAGAAAGCCGAAGGAAACUUGUACCGAACAGCAACUCUCAAAGUAUCUAAAUACUCACAAAAAUACGCUCGACAAUAUAGAGAGAAAGAAAACUUAUUUAUGGUGUGAAGGAAAACUAAACCCUAAACCCUAGACCCUAGACCCUAGACCCUAAACCCUAAACCCUAAGUGUCUAUUUAUAGGAAAAUGCUAGAACGCCAUAGGAGACUAAAAUAAUAAAAUAAUAAUAUUUCUUUUUAAAUCAUCUGCGCCACCCACCAUUUUGAGUCAAGCAUGCCUUCUUGGACAAAAAUCAGCAGCCCAUGUGUAUUCAACACCAACCAAAAUGUGGGUCCCACCCAUAAUUUAAUAAUAUCAUUUUUUUUUUUGAAACUUUAGUAAUUCAUAGAAAAUAGCCCAUUUAUCAGAAAAAUACGAAUUUUAUGUCCAUUCCACACGAAAUUGAAUUCUCUACAACUUUGUAGCUUUGAGUUUUUCUAAUGUCCAAACAAAAAAUAUCCGAAACCCACAAACGGAUGAUUUUUAAUACCUCCACUCCGACAAAAUACUGAUAAAACACCUCAACAUUAAUUCCUUCAUGUAUAAGUACAUAAAUAAAUAAAUCCAUCAUUUAUAUCCACAUCAAAUAAAUAUUUUCUUAUCAUAUAAAUCAAUAAUUAAUUAUUCACAAAUAAUAUUACUGAAUCACAAUUAUGACAACCAGGCAGUUCCCAGGAAAGAGGGGGCUUUCCAAUAAGGAUUUCUCCUUACUGGCGUGCAAUUAGGUGACCAAACCUCUCCUUGACAAAACUUUCUAGACAUUGCCAAUAAUGCUAAUUAAUAAUAUUAUUCAAAUAAUAUUAAUUAUUGAUCUGAUAAUGGGAAAUAUUGUGCAGUGACAAUUAUUGAAACAACAAUAAUAUAAACUAUCAACGCAACAAUUAUUGAAUCAAUAAAAUAAAAUAUUGAACAGUAAUUACUGUAACAAUUAUUGAGUAGUGCCUUCUUACGUACCAAUCAAUAAUUCAACAAUACUGUGCAAUACCGUGUGCUACUGUGCAACCACGCAUAUUACUGUAUUUUAACCACCAGGUAUUCCAACAGUGUUAACAGUAACAACUACGCCGUUAUUUAUUAAACUCAUACUUUAUCGUUUUCCUUCAUCCAACUGUUUUUCGUUAUGUGGCCCACAAAUGGUUGCACCGUCGUACGAAUAUUCCACGACAAAAAGAAUAUUCCACGACCAAACAAAUAUUCCCCGACAGAAAUGAAUAUUUUUUAACCACUUGCUUAAUUUGCAAAAUUUUCACAUUUCACCCAUAACCAAAGCAUUAUAUCAAAUUAACACCUUAAUAACUUAGAAUAAUGAAUAUAGGAAAAUUUCAAUUUUAUUUAUAAUAAGUUAGGGUCUUUCAACCUCCCCUCCUUAUAAAAUUUCGUCCUCGAAAUUAACGUACGUACAUGGUGUUUCAAAAAGGUGAGGGUACCUCGCUUUCAUUUUUGAUUUCAACUCCCAGGUAAUUUUCUCAAUAGCAUGGUUCCUCCACAAAACCUUAACUUGUGGUAUAACCUUUGUGCAUAGGACAUGCUUUUUUCUAUCCAAGAUCUUAACAAGUACCUCCUCGUAUAUUAAAUCUUCGACUAUCUCAUCUGGUUCCAACUCAAUAAUAUGGUUCGAGUCUUUCACAUAUUUACGAAUCAUAGAUAUAUGAAAAACAUUAUGAACACGAGAUAUGUUUGGAGGUAAUGCGAUUCGAUAGGCCACAUUUCCUAUUCGGUCGAGAAUCUCAAAUGGACCAACAAAUCAUGGAUUGAGCUUUCCUCUCUUCCUAAAUUUUGUAACUCCCUUCCAUGGAGCAACACGUAACAAUACAUGAUCCCCAAUAUUAAAUUCUACAUCCUUUCGAUGAAGGUCAACAUAACUCUUUUGUCGAUCUUGUGAGGUUUAAAUACGUUGUCGAAUCAUUUAGAUCUUUUCUGUAGUCAUGCGUACUAAUUCUGGUCCCUACAACGCUGCUUCUCCCACCUCGUCCCAGCAUACUAGAGAGCGACACUUUCGUCCAUACAAUGCCUCGAAUGGAGCCAUUCCUAUAUUUGCUUGAUAACUGUUGUUGUAGGAGAAUUCCACCAGUGGCAAGUACUUAUCCCAACUUCCUUUGAAAUCUAGGACACAGAGUCUUAAUAGAUCUUCAAGGGUUUGAAUACUCCUUUUCGAUUGCCCGUCCAUUUGAGGAUGGUAUGCUGAACUGAAUCGUAAAUUUGUGCAAAUAGCUUUCUGCAAGCUAACCCAAAAUCUUGAAGUGAAUCUUGGGUCACGAUCCGAAACUAUGGAUACUAGCAUGCCAUGCAAUCUCACAAUCUCAUUCACGUACAUACGAGCAAGACGUUCAAGGGAAUAAGUCUCACGUAUCAGCAAGAAAUGAGCAGACUUGGUUAAUCUAUCAAUAAUAACCCAAAUCGCAUCUAAGCCUUGAGAAACUUUGGGAAGACCUGUAACGAAAUUCAUGGAAAUGUGUUCCCACUUCCAUUUAGAAUUCUCAAGUGGUUGCAAUGGACCCUUUGGCACUUGAUGCUCCACCUUUACACGUUGACAGGUUAAACACCUCGAGAUAAACUCCGUGAUCACUCUCUUCAUAUUGUUCCACCAAAAUGUAUUUCGAAGAUCAUGAUACAUUUUGGUAGUCCCAGGAUGGAUUGCAAACGGGGUGUUGUGUGCCUCCAUCAUGAUUCUAUGCUUCAAGUCAGAACUGUUAAGAACGCAAAGUCUAGAGUUUACUCGAAGUAUUCCUUCUUCAUCGAUUCUUUCUUCUGGAAUAGGACCUUCUUGCACUUUCUUCUUCAUACGCAUCAGCCCCAGGUCCGUAGCUUGAGCCACUUUAACUUUAUCGAUUAAAGUUGGUUCUACUCGUAUAUUCCCCAUCAUCACGUGGGUCCCUGGAGUCUUUAACUCUAUCUGCAUCCUUUGCAAGUCAUACAAAAUGGGCCUUUGCGUUGACAAUAUCGCACUCGUACUUGCACAUGAUCUUCUACUCAAUGCGUCAGCUACUACGUUUGCUUUUUCAGGAUGAUAUUGAAUAGUGUGAUCAUAAUCUUUGAACAGCUCAAGCCAACAUCGUUGCCGCAUGUUGAGUUCUUUUUAGGUGAAGAAAUAUUUGAGGCUUUUAUGGUCCGUAUAAAUAUCCACUUUCUCCACAUACAAGUAGUGUCUCCAUAUCUUCAACGCAAAAACGACUGCUGCUAACUCAAGAUCAUGAGUAGGAUAAUAGCUCUCAUAUUCUUUGAGUUGUCGCGAGGCAUAGGCUAUGAUUUUCCCAUGUUGUAGGAGAACACAUUCUAACCCUUUGCCUGAAGCAUCGCUAUAGAUAUCAAAUCCAUCCGAACCAGAUGGUAUUGCCAGAACAGGUGCCAAAAUGAGUCUCAUCUUGAGCUCUUGGAAACUCUUCUCGCAUUCUUCGCUCCAUACGAAUUUUGUAUCUUUCUGAGUCAGCUGAGUUAACGGAGUAGCAAUUCGAGAAAAUCCUUUCACAAAUCUUCGAUAAUAACCAACUUAAGCCCAGAAAGCUGCGUACUUCGGUCACCGACUUCGGUUGCUCCUCAUUUUGUAUUGCUUCAAUCUUCGCCGGGUCAACAGAUACUCUAUGUUUUGACACCAUGUGCCCAAGGAAUGCUACUUCCUCAAGCCAGAACUCGCAUUUCUUCAGCUUGGCAUAUAGCUUGUUUUCACGAAGCCUUUCAAGUAUUAGCUUCAAAUGGUGCUCAUGAUCUUCACGACUUUUGGAAUAGAUGAGGAUGUCAUCAAUAAAGACAACAACGAAUUGAUCCAAAUAUUCCUUGAAUACUCGGUUCAUCAUAUCCAUGAAAGCAGCAGGAGCAUUAGUUAAUCCAAAAGAUAUGACAAAGAAUUCAUAAUGCCCGUACCGAGUUCUGAAGGUAGUCUUUGGAAUAUCCUCAGUUUUAAUCUUCAGCUGAUGAUAUCCAAAACGAAUAUCGAUCUUUGAAAAGAAUUGUGCUCCUUGUAACUGAUCGAACAGGUCAUCAAUGCGAGUUAGGGCAUACCUAUUCUUGAUGGUGACAUGGUUCAAUUCUCGGUAGUUAAUACAAAGUCGCAUACUCCCGUCUUUCUUCUUUACGAAUAAAAUAGGAGUACCCCAAGGAGAUGUACUAGGACGAAUGAAACUGAUGUCUAAUAACUCCUGUAGUUAGACUUUUAACUCCUGAAGUUCAAUAGGAGCCAUUCGAUAUGGGGUUUGAGAAAUGGGUUUUAUACCCGAUUCAAGGUCAAUAAAGAAUUCAACAUCGCAUCCUGAGGGUAGACCGGGAAGUUCUUCAGGAAAUACAUCAGGAAAUUCUCUAACAACAGAAAUAUUAUCCAAAUCUGACUUGUCUUUAUUCAAAUCCAUAACAUGGGCUAAGAAAGUUUGGCAUCCGUUUUUCAAUAAAUGAAUAGCUUUGUGGCUUGAUAUGACAGUGACUGAUUUUAGUGGUUUAGUUGUUUGAAUUCGUAUGACGGGUUGGUUAGGAAUAUGAAAACUAACAACCUUACAAAAACAAUCAAUUUUGGCAUGAUGAGUGAUUAACCAAUCAAUCCCUAAAAUCACAUCAAAAGAAAUUAUCUUUAAAGAGAUAAGAUCAACAGGUAAUGUGAUAGUGCCAACUUGGAUUAAGCAAGAUUUAUAAACUGUAGAUGUAACGAAGGUUUCACCUAACGGAGUUUCAACAGAUAAGUUAAAGUCCAAUUUCUCCGAAGUCAAGUUUAAACGUUGAGCACAAGCAGGAGAGAUAAAAGAAUGGAUAGAACCGGUAUCUAGUAAGGUAUAAACUUCGCAAGAAUUCAAGAUUAGCUUACCCGUGAUCACCUCGUUCGGGUUCCUCAUGUUUUGGCCAGUCACGACAAACGCUCUUCCAGGAACCGCUGAUUUUGACUUAUCCGGGACAGCCCUUGGAGUCACCAUCCCCGCUGAACUUGGUUUUGCUACAGAACAAUCCCGAGCUAUGUGACAUUCCUUUCCAUAGUUAUAACAUACCUUGGAUUUUUGUGGACAAUUUGGGCUGAUAUGUCCCUCUUUCCCGCAUUUGUAACAUCUAACUGGCGGUCUUUCUCCUCCCCUAGAAUUUGUUGUUGGUGCUGCUGCUGCUGCUGAUGUCUUCUCGUCAUUGUUGAAUCUCCUAUUUCUGAAAUUUUCACUUGACUCACCUCUCCUAUUAUCAUGACCACAAUUACCACUCGAGUGGUUACCGUCUUUGUCCGUAUUUUUCCCUCCUCGCAGGUUAUCAUCGCUCUGACUGCUGUCACCAGUAUGACCCUGGUUGUGGUCCCUCGGUUGAGUAUACUCAUUAUCUCGCUCUAAUAAUUGAGCCAUGUUGACAACAUCUGAAUAAAGAGAAAAUUUAUGAGAGAUAAGGUAUUGAUGAAUCUUGGGUUUUAGACCUCUCAGAAACAUCCGCGUCAUAGGUUCCUCAUUCUCCACCAAAUAAGGUGAAAACCUGCAUAACUCCGCGAACUUCACCUCGUACUGAGACGCCGUCAUGUUGUUCUGUUCCAGUCUAAUAAACUCUACCUCCUUCAUAUGAUGAAUACUUUCAGGAAAAUACUUGUCAUUGAACAUUUUCUGAAAUCUUUCCCAAGACAUGUUAAGUGCGGCUGGCUAGGUAUGCUUCACAGAUUCCCACCAGUAAUCUGCCUCACCACUGAACAUAAAGGUGGCGAAUGGAACCUUGACACAAAAGUUCCAAAUUUGAUUAAAAAGUUCAAACCAAUAUUUCGGCAUAAUGAUAUUGAAGAAAAUAAUAUCAUGUAAGAAGAAAAUAACAUCCCUUACCUCAAAAUAAUGGUACUUCUAAUCGGAAUAUCGGAUAGAAAGCCGAAGGAAACUUGUACCGAACAACAACUCUCAAAGUAUCUAAAUACUCACAAAAAUACGCUCGACAAUAUAGAGAGAAAGAAAACUUAUUUUUGGUGUGAAAGAAAACUAAACCCUAAACCCUAAACCCUAGACCCUAGACCCUAAACCCUAAAUCCUAAAUCCUAAACCAUAAACCCUAAACCCUAAACCCUAGACCCUAGACCCUAAACCCUAAACCCUAGACCCUAGAUGUUAAAUCCUAGAGCCUAAACCCUAAACCCUAAGCGUCUAUUUAUAGGAAAAUGCUAGAACGUCAUAGGAGACUAAAAUAAUAAAAUAAUAAUAUUUCUUUUUAAAUCAUCUACGCCACCCACCAUUUUGAGUCAAGCAUGCCUUCUUGGACCAAAAUCAGCAGCCCAUGUGUAUUCAACACCAACCAAAAUGUGGGUCCCACCCAUAAUUUAAUAAAUAUCAUUUUAUUUUUUGAAACUUCAGUAAUGCAUAGAAAAUAGCCCAUUUAUCAGAAAAAUACGAAUUUUAUGUCCAUUCCACACGAAAUUGAAUUCUCUACAACUUAGUGGCUUUAAGUUUUUCCAAAGUCCAAACAUAAAAUAUCCAAAACCCUCAGCAUUAAUUCCUUCAUUUAUAACCACAUAAAUAAAUAAAUCCAUCAUUUAUAUCCACAUCAAAUAAAUAUUUCCUUAUCAUAUAAAUCAAUAAUUAAUUAUUCACAAAUAAUAUUACUGAAUCACAAUUAUGACAACCAGGCAGUUCCCAGGAAAGAGGGGGCUUUCCAAUAAGGAUUUCUCCUUACUGGCGUUCAAUUAGGUGACCAAACCUCUCCUUAACAGAACUUUCUAGACAUUGCCAAUAAUGCUAAUUAAUAAUAUUAUUCAAAUAAUAUUAAUUAUUGAUCUGAUAAUGGGAAAUAUUGUGCAGUGACAAUUAUUGAAACAACAAUAAUAUAAACUAUCAACGCAACAAUUAUUGAAUCAAUAAAAUAAAAUAUUGAACAGUAACUACUGUAACAAUUAUUGAGUAGUGCCUUCUUACGUACGAAUAAAUAAUUCAACAAUACUGUGCAAUACCGUGUGCUACUGUGCAACCACGCAUAUUACUGUAUUUUAACCACCAGGUAUUCCAACAGUGUUAACAGUAACAACUACGCCGUUAUUUAUUAAACUCAUACUUUGUCGUUUUCCUUCAUCCAACUUUUUUCGUUAUGUGGCCCACAAAUGGUUGCACCGUCGUACGAAUAUUCCACGACAAAAAGAAUAUUCCACGACCAAACGAAUAUUCCCCGACAGAAAUGAAUAUUUUAUAACCACUUGCUUAUUUUGCAAAAUUUUCAUAUUUCACCCAUAACCAAAGCAUUAUAUCAAAUUAACACCUUAUUAAUUUAGAAUAAUGAAUAUAGGAAAAUUUCAAUUUUAUUUAUAAUAAGUUAGGGUCUUUCAACCUCCCCUCCUUAUAAAAUUUCGUCCUCGAAAUUAACGUACGUACAUGGUGUUUCAAAAAGGUGAGGGUACCUCGCUUUCAUUUUUGAUUUCAACUCCCAGAUCAUUUUCUCAAUAGCAUGGUUCCUCCACAAAACCUUAACUUGUGGUAUAACCUUUGUGCAUAGGACAUGCUUUUUUCUAUCCAAGAUCUUAACAAGUACCUCCUCGUAUAUUAAAUCUUCGACUAUCUCAUCUGGUUCCAACUCAAUAAUAUGGUUCGAGUCUUUCACAUAUUUACGAAUCAUAGAUAUGUGAAAAACAUUAUGAACACGAGAUAUGUUUGGAGGUAAUGCGAUUCUAUAGGCCACAUUUCCUAUUCGGUCGAGAAUCUCAAAUGGACCAACAAAUCAUGGAUUGAGCUUUCCUCUCUUCCUAAAUUUUGUAACUCCCUUCCAUGAAGCAACACGUAACAAUACAUGAUCCCCAAUAUUAAAUUCUACAUCCUUUCGAUGAAGGUCAACAUAACUCUUUUAUCGAUCUUGUGAGGUUUAAAUACGUUGUCGAAUCAUUUAGAUCUUUUCUGUAGUCAUGCGUACUAAUUCUGGUCCCUACAACGUUGCUUCUCCCACCUCGUCCCAACAUACUAGAGAGCGACACUUUCGUCCAUACAAUGCCUCGAAUGGAACCAUUCCUAUAUUUGCUUGAUAACUGUUGUUGUAGGAGAAUUCCACCAGUGGCAAGUACUUAUCCCAACUUCCUUUGAAAUCUAGGACACAGAGUCUUAAUAGAUCUUCAAGGGUUUGAAUAGUCCUUUUCGAUUGCCCGUCCAUUUGAGGAUGGUAUGCUGAACUGAAUCGUAAAUUUGUGCAAAUAGCUUUCUGCAAGCUAACCCAAAAUCUUGAAGUGAAUCUUGGGUCACGAUCCGAAACUAUGGAUACUAGCAUGCCAUGCAAUCUCACAAUCUCAUUCACGUACAUACGAGCAAGACGUUCAAGGGAAUAAGUCUCACGUAUCAGCAAGAAAUGAGCAGACUUGGUUAAUCUAUCAAUAAUAACCCAAAUCGCAUCUAAGCCUUGAGAAACUUUGGGAAGACCUGUAACGAAAUCCAUGGUAAUGUGUUCCCACUUCCAUUUCGAAUUCUCAAGUGGUUGCAAUGGACCCUUUGGCACUUGAUGCUCCACCUUUACACGUUCACAGGUUAAACACCUCGAGAUAAACUCCGUGAUCUCUCUCUUCAUAUUGUUCCACCAAAAUGUAUGUCGAAGAUCAUGAUACAUUUUGGUAGUCCCAGGAUGGAUUGCAAACGGGGUGUUGUGUGCCUCCAUCAUGAUUCUAUGCUUCAAGUCAGAAUUGUUAAGAACGCAAAGUCUAGAGUUGACUCGAAGUAUUCCUUCUUCAUCGAUUCUUUCUUCCGGAAUAGGACUUUCUUGCACUUUCUUCUUCAUACGCAUCAGCCCCAGUUCCGUAGCUUGAGCAACUUUAACUUUAUCGAUUAAAGUCGGUUCUACUCGUAUAUUCCCCAUCAUCACGUGGGUCCCUGGAGUCUUUAACUCUAUCUGCAUCCUUUGCAAAUCAUACAAAAUGGGCCUUUGCGUUGACAAUAUCGCACUCGUACUUGCACAUGAUCUUCUACUCAAUGCGUCAGCUACUACGUUUGCUUUUCCAGGAUGAUAUUGAAUAGUGUGAUCAUAAUCUUUGAACAGCUCAAGCCAACAUCGUUGUCGCAUAUUGAGUUCUUUUUAGGUGAAAAUAUUUGAGGCUUUUAUGGUCCGUAUAAAUCUCCACAUUCUUCACAUACAAGUAGUGUCUCCAUAUCUUCAACGCGAAAACGACUGCUGCCAACUCAAGAUCAUGAGUAGGAUAAUUCCUCUCAUAUUCUUUGAGUUGUCACAAGGCAUAGGCUAUGAUUUUCCCAUGUUGCAUGAGAACACAUUCUAACCCUUUGCCUGAAGCAUCGCUAUAGAUAACAAAUCCAUCCGAACCAGAUGGUAUUGCCAGAACAGGUGCCAAAAUGAGUCUCCUCUUGAGCUCUUGGAAAAUCCUCUCGCAUUCUUCGCUCCAUACGAAUUUUGUAUCUUUCUGAGUCAGCUGAGUUAACGGAGUAGCGAUUUGAGAAAAUCCUUUCACGAAUCUCCGAUAAUAACCAGCUUAAGCCCAGAAAGCUGCGUACUUCGAUCACCGACUUCGAUUGCUCCUAACUUUGUAUUCCUUCAAUCUUCGCUGGGUCAAUAGAUACUCUAUGUUUUGACACCACGUGCCCAAGGAAUGCUACUUCCUCAAGCCAGAACUCGCAUUUCUUCAGCUUGGUAUAUAGCUUGUUUUUACGAAGCCUUUCAAGUAUCAGCUUCAAAUGGUGCUCAUGAUCUUCACGACUUUUGGAAUAGAUGAGGAUGUCAUCAAUAAAGACAACAACGAACUGAUCCAAAUAUUCCUUGAAUACUCAGUUCAUCAUAUCCAUGAAAGCAGCAGGAGCAUUAGUUAAUCCAAAAGACAUGACUAAGAAUUCACAAUGCCCGUACCGAGUUCUGAAGGCAGUCUUUGGAAUAUCCUCAGUUUUAAUCUUCAGCUGAUGAUAUCCAGAACGAAGAUCGAUCUUAGAAAAUAAUUUUUCUCCUUGUAACUGAUCGAACAGGUCAUCAAUGCGAGGUAGGGGAUACCUAUUCUUGAUGGUGACAUGGUUCAAUUCUCGGUAGUUAAUACAAAGUCGCAUACUCCCGUCUUUCUUCUUUACGAAUAAAACAGGAGUACCCCAAGGAGAUGUACUAGGACGAAUGAAAUCGAUGUCUAAUAACUCCUAUUGUUGGACUUUUAACUCCUGAAGUUCAAUAGGAGCCAUUCGAUAUGGGGUUUUAGAAAUGGGUUUUAUACGCGGUUCAAGGUCAAUAAAGAAUUCAACAUCGCGUUCUGAGGGUUGACCAGGAAGUUCUUCAGGAAAUACAUCAGGAAAUUCUCUAACAACAGAAAUAUUAUCCAAAUCUGACUUGUCUUUAUUCAAAUCCAUAACAUGGGCUAAGAAAACUUGGCAUCCAUUUUUCAAUAAACGAAUAGCUCUGUGGCUUGAUAUGACAGUGACUGAUUUUAGUGGUUUGGUUGUUUGAAUUCGUAUGACGGGUACGUUAGGAAUAUGAAAACUAACAACCUUACCAAAACAAUCAAUUUUGGCAUGAUGAGUGAUUAACCAAUCAAUCCCUAAAAUCACAUCAAAAGCAAUUAUCUUUAAAGAGAUAAGAUCAACAGGUAAUGUGAUAGUGCCAACUUGGAUUAAGCAAGAUUUAUAAACUGUAGAUGUAACGAAGGUUUCACCUAACGGAGUUUCAACAGAUAAGUUAAAGUCCAAUUUCUCCGAAGUCAAGUUUAAACGUUGAGCACAAGCAGGAGAGAUAAAAGAAUGGGUAGAACCGGUAUCUAGUAAGGUAUAAACUUCGCAAGAAUUCAAUAUUAGCUUACCCGUGAUCACCUCGUUCGGGUUCCUCACGUUUUAGCCAGUCACGACAAACGCUCUUCCAAGAACCGCUGAUUUCGACUUAUCCGGGACAGCCCUUGGAGUCACCAUCCCCGCUGAACUUGGUUUUGCUACAGAACAAUCCUGAGCUAUGUGACAUUCCUUUCCACAAUUAUAACAUACCUUGGAUUUUUGUGGACAAUUUUGGCUGAUAUGUCCCUCUUUCCCGCAUUUGUAACAUCUAACUGGCGGUCGUUCUCCUCCCCUAGAAUUUGUUGUUGGUGCUGGUGCUGCUGCUGAUGUCUUCCCGUCAUUGUUGAAUCUCCUAUUUCUGAAAUUUCCACUUGACUCACCUCUUCUAUUAUCAUAACCACAAUUACCACUCGAGUGGUUACCGUCUUUGUCCGUAUAUUUUCCUCCUCGCAGGUUAUCAUCGCUCUGACUGCUGUCACCGGUAUGACCCUGGUUGUGGUCCCUCGGUUGAGUAUACUCAUUAUCUCACUCUAAUAAUUGAGUCCUGUUGACAACAUCUGAAUACAGAGAAAAUUUAUGAGAGAUAAGGUAUUGAUGAAUCUCGGGUUUAAAACCUCUCAGAAACAUUCACGUCAUACGUUCCUCAUUCUCCACCAAAUGAGGUGAAAACCUGCAUAACUCCGCGAACUUCACCUCGUAUUGAGACACCGUCAUGUUGUUCUGUUCCAGUCUAAUAAACUCUACCUCCUUCAUAUGAUGAAUACUUUCAGGAAAGUACUUGUCAUUGAACAUUUUCUGAAAUCUUUCCCACGACAUGUUAAGUGCGGCUGGCUGGGUACGCUUCACAGACUCUCACCAGUAAUCUGCCACACCACGAAACAUAAAGGUGGCGAAUGGAACUUUCUAUUCCUCCGUGCAUCCCAAGACAUCGAAUAUCUUGGUAAUUUGCUUGACCCACGUUUCCGCCUUAAUCGAAUCGGCCUUUCCCCAGAAAUAUGGUGGUCCCAACUCCUUGAACUGCUUGGCUGUGACAGACCGCGCGUUACUAUCACUUCCACCCGUAUUUUGUACACGAGUCUCCCUCGUCUGAUUUUGCAUUAACCGCAAAAAGCUCCUAAACAUUCCAUCAUUCAUCGUUUGCUCGGUAGUGUUGUUUAUAGGAGGAAUAUUGUCUUUCUGUUGCACGUUCUCCUGGUUUGUGACUAAAGGUUGUUCCACAGUCUCAUACACUCCAUUGUUAACAUUCUCAGCAGACAUUCUUAAAUACUGCCAUAAAACAAGGGUAAUUAAACAAAUUAACAUAUCACAUAAUAUCCCUUUAUUAUGACCGACCAAUAAAUAAGCUUAGAUAGGAUACACUAGCAAAGGAUUUACUCAUCUCUCCCCUCCUAGUUCUAUUCCUCGAUAUCCGCCAGAGACCAUAUCCCUAAGCUUUGAUACCAACUGUGACGCCCCCAAAAUAGGUAUACAACACCCAUUCUGAGUCGCCAAAUACAUGGUACAGAAAACAAACUACAACUUCAAUAAUACAAUUGUCGUGCAAAAUACGACAACACAUACUGUGAGUUUAAAUACAAAUAUUGUCUUCUAGACAAUAUCCACACUCAAAUAAGUCCUCAUUACAAUUAUUCAAACACUAUUUUACAGAAAUAGUGAGGACUGCUAAAACAUCUUUCUAGAACCAUCACUCCAUACCCCGACUAGAUCCUGCUAUGUUCUCACCUCCUGAGAAGAAAAAUGGAACAAAAAGGAAAAGGGUGAGCUCAACUAGCCCAGUAAAGAAUAUUAUGACUAAGAUAAUAUACAACAAAUUAUCAUUAGUCUUCAACAGGGAAAAAUCUGAUAAAAUAUAAUAGACAACAAGUUUUAGAUCAACAACUGCAGCGGAAACAACAAUCCAUUAGAAGAGUCAAGUAGAGAAUGAAUUCUACUAUCUUCUAAGAUUUAAAAGUUCAUCAUCAAUAUUUUAUCCCUGUAACAACAAUCAAUAUACAUCUUUAAUCAAAUAUUCAUAUUUACACUACAGGCCAAAGAUAUUCAUCUGUAUCACCAGUUGGUCAUGUUCAUCUCAACACUUGUUCAUCUUUGCACUACGGGCCAAAGAUAUUCAUUAGUUAAUCAUUCAUCUUUGCACUACAGGCCAAAGAUAUUCAGUAAUAUCAUCAUUUAAGACUGAGGAUGAUGAAAAUAAUUUAAAAAAAACGAAUCCAGUGAGACAGAAGGACGAAUAUUAGGGAUUCGUAUUACAGUUUAUCCAAGAUCAAUAAUACUCCAUAAUAACCAAUUUUGAAGUAGAAUUCAAAAAUAAAGAUCAAAAUAUGGAUACAAUCAAAGAUUGUAACCAUAAUAGACAUAUUGGACAAAAAGAAAAAAUUUUAUUUUUCGGUGAAUAGUACCGUAUUUGUGAAUAGUGUCGUAUACGUGAAUAGUAAUCCCGACAAAAAAGUUUCAAAUUUGAUUAAAAAGUUCAAACCAAUAUUUCAGCAUAAUGAUAUUGAAGAAAAUAAUAUCAUUUAAGAAGAAGAUAACAUUCCUUACCUCAAAAUAACGGUACUUCUGAUCGGAAUAUCGGAUAAAAAGUCGAAGGAAACUUGUACCGAACAACAACUCUCAAAGUAUCUAAAUACUCACAAAAAUACGUUCGACAAUAUAGAGAGAAAGAAAAUUUGUUUCUGGUGAGAUUUUCAAUUCUAACCUAAGCGUCUAUUUAUAGAAAAAUACUAGAACGUCAUAGGAGACUAAAAUAAUAAAAUAAUAAUAUUUCUUUUUAAAUCAUCUACGCCACCCACCAUUUUGAGUUAAGCAUGCCUUCUUGGACAAAAAUCAACAGCCCAUGUGUAUUCAACACCAACCAAAAAGUGGAUCCCACCCAUAAUUUAAUAAAAAUUAUUUUAUUUUUCGAAACUUCAGUAAUUCAUAGAAAAUAGCCCGUUUAUCAGAAAAAUACGAAUUUUAUGUCCAUUCCACACGAAAUCGAAUUCUCUACAACUUUGUAGAUUUGAGUUUUUCCAAAUUCCAAACAUAAAAUAUCCAAAACCCACAAACAGGUGAUUUUUAAUACCUCUACUCUGACAAAAUACUGAUAAAAUACCUCAUCAUUAAUUCAUUCAUUUAUAACCACAUAAAUAAAUAAAUCAAUCAUUUAUAUCCACAUCAAAUAAAUAUUUUCUUAUUAUAUAAAUUAAUAAUUAAUUAUUCAUAAAUAAUAUUACAGAAUCACAAUUAUGACAACCAGACAGUUUCCAGGAAAGAGGGGGCUUUCCAAUAAGGAUUUCUCCUUACUAGCGCGCAAUUAGGUGACCAAACCUCUCCUUGACAGAACUUUCUAGACAUUGCCAAUAAUGUUAUCUAAUAAUAUUAUUCAAAUAAUAUGAAUUAUUAAUCUGAUAAUGGAAAAUACUGUGCAUUGACAAUUAUUGAAAUAACAAUAAUAUAAACUAUCAACGCAGCAAUUAUUGAAUCAAUAAAAUAAAAUAUUGAACAGUAACUACUGUAACAAUUAUUGAGUUGUGCCUUCUUACGUACAAAUCAAUAAUUCAACAAUACUGUGCAAUACCGUGUGCUACUGUGCAACCACGCAUAUUACUAUAUUUUAACCACCAGGUAUUCCAACAGUGUUAACGGUAACAACUACGUUGUUAUUUAUAAAACUCAUACUUUGUCGUUUUCUUUCAUCCAACCGUUUUCCGUUAUGGAGCCCACAAAUGGCUGCGCCGUCAUACGAAUAUUCUCCGACAAAAAGAAUAUUCCACGACCAAACGAAUAUUCCCCGACAAAAAUGAUUAUUUUAUAACCACUUGCUUAUUUUGCAAAAUUUGCACAUUUCACCCAUAACCAAAGCAUUAUAUCAAAUUAACACCUUAUUAAUUUAGAAUAAUGAAUAGAGGAAAAUUUCAAUUUUAUUUAUAAUAAGUUGAGUCUUACAAAAAUCCUUGAAUAACAAUAAAAUCCACAAAUUUAGUUUGGAAAUUGGUGACUGCCUUACCCAUCUGUUUGAAUGGACCGUCUAGUAAGCAUGUACACUCCACUGAACACAUUAUGAUGAUUAGGUGUGUUAGGUACAAUCCCAUACAAUUGCAGUUCUUAUGAGUUAUGAUCUAGUAGUAGGCUUUGACCAAGUCUAAAUCUAGUCUAGUCACACUAAGAACCUUGCAGCAAACAAAUUUCUGUCUCACGGAAUAAAAGGCAUGUGAAGGCACCAAGAAUGACUUCUAGAGCGAAGAAAUUGUUCAAUCAAAAGAAAAACAAAGUGUGAACUAGAAAUCCUCAUUUGGUCUGGAAAGGAGCCUUUUUUUUAAAUAGACAAUUAAUAGACAUCAGGGAGUAACAUGAACCUGCUUGUUUGCAAAAAUAAGAACAACACCACCUCUUAACUCUUCCUCCUGACAAUAAAGCAUAAAGAUAUUUAAUUCAAAUUCAGAACACACAUUUCAGGUUAAGUUCAAGUAUAUUUAAAGAUAAAAUCUUCCAGAUUAACUGGUUCUGGUCAAAUACCCAAACAAAUUAACUAUAACUUUAGAUAGUGGUACAACAGAAGUUAACGACACAGAAACCAAUACUCUUUCCUUCUUUUUAUUUUGACAAGUUUAUAUUCAAAAGGGCACCAAGAGGGUGCUACCCAUAUUCAAACGAAGUCGCAAUAAAACAGGGUAAAACCUGCGCCACCGAAGCACAAAACCUACAUCAUGUCCUGUGGCUAAAUCCGACAAGUCAACAAAUGCUUUACUCAAACCAAGCAACACCUUAUUCUGCCAAAAAGAACAACUUUUUGAUAUGCACAAUAAACUGGUCUAUUUUAUCUAAAUAUCUAUAAUCUAGAAAUAUCACUAAAAGAUCUAGAUUAUGCUAUCAAAAUUCUUUAGAAAAAUUACUUACCCUUUGUACAGCGGUUUUGGCACGGAGCAAGUUCUCUGGUUUAACUCAUACAGGGGGAGGUAAGCACAAGCUUUAUGCCAUUGAAAAACCUACACUAAAAUCUCAAGAGCUCAAUAAUAUGAAACAGAUUUAAAGCUUUCGAGUUUGAUCUAAACCAAUAGAUGAAAAACCACUAUACAAAUCAUACCCAAAGCGAGACGAAUUUAAAUCUGACGAAGGGGAUAUUCAAAACCACUAUGCAAAUCUAACCCAUAGCCAGACGGCGAGAGAGCUAGGUUAGGGAUACUGAGGAAGAUGAGUUUGGGGAGAAGAGAAUGUGUUUUAUUUUGCUGGGAGAGUUCUUUUAGGUGGGUAUCGGCAUAAAAGUCUCUCUAGUUUCAUUUAUCA
This 24803-nucleotide long non-coding RNA is filed under the name Panax ginseng (ginseng). Its description in RNAcentral is "long non-coding RNA (PGIN_LNC000147)". The record is from RNAcentral. Lineage: Eukaryota; Viridiplantae; Streptophyta; Magnoliopsida; Apiales; Araliaceae.